UGGCGAACGGGUGAGUAACACGUGGGUGAUCUGCCCUGCACUUCGGGAUAAGCCUGGGAAACUGGGUCUAAUACCGGAUAGGACGAUGGUUUGGAUGCCAUUGUGGAAAGUUUUUCGGUGUGGGAUGAGCUCGCGGCCUAUCAGCUUGUUGGUGGGGUAAUGGCCUACCAAAGCGUCGACGGGUAGCCGGCCUGAGAGGGUGUACGGCCACAUUGGGACUGAGAUACGGCCCAG
Molecule: ribosomal RNA, 234 nt
Filed under: uncultured Actinomycetales bacterium
Lineage: Bacteria; Bacillati; Actinomycetota; Actinomycetes; Actinomycetales
Description: partial 16S ribosomal RNA
Rfam family: Bacterial small subunit ribosomal RNA
Source: RNAcentral